Molecule: long non-coding RNA, 360 nt
Filed under: Cucumis sativus (cucumber)
Lineage: Eukaryota; Viridiplantae; Streptophyta; Magnoliopsida; Cucurbitales; Cucurbitaceae
Description: long non-coding RNA (CSAT_LNC001151)
Source: RNAcentral
UAUAAUUAAUAAUAAUAAGGUUAUAAUUGUCCAAACAAAAUAUACAAAUUCGUGUUUAAUUAAAUAAAUUUUAGUUGAGAAAGUUUGUGAAAUUUUUAUAAUCAAUUUAGGUUUUUGUGUAAAUCUUAAAAAAGAAAAAAGAGUGAAUUAGGAAAAGUUAAUUUGGGCCAGUUACAUGAGGCAGAGAUCAGGACCCCAAGGCGUUGGCCCUAAAGGGCUGAAGCAGGAGAGUUGUAGCCCCAACUCCCUUCUUCCGCUCCGUCUUUUCCUCCCUUCCUUCAUUGCCCUGUUUCAUGUGAUUCUUCCAUCCUCACAUCACGAUUGCUAUUCCUCAAUUCCAAAUUUCUGGUCUGGGACGAC